GAAAACCCUGAAAAUAGUUACAUUUCGUUAUCUCUUCUGAAUUAACCACAGGUUUCCCUUGGGGCACAGGUUCUAACCUGAUAACGCACCCAUGCAAACCAGCAGGUUGACCGCCACAUUUUUUUUAACAACACAACAACUGGUUUCAGAUGCCCCCCGAGAGCCCUGAUUUGAACCCCAUCGAGCUGCUGUGGGCUGAACUGAAGUAUUUCAUCAGGAAUUGGGCAAAACCAAGAACGAAAGAUCAACUGGUAGCUGCCAUUGAAGAAUUUUGGACAAACAUGGAUCAGGCUAAGUGUGUUAAUUAAGAGAAAAUUAAAGCAGAGAGGUUGGUUUGGCCAACUGGGCAAGAACUGGCAUGUGACUGUGGUGAUCUUCUGAAACAAUUUUAAAGAGGCAGUGCAGGAAGUAGAAAGAGGACAGUUAAAGAGAGCAGUGUAGUGGAGGACUUGCAUGCCAAGCUUCUUGAACAAGAAAUGAAAAAAUGCAAUGAAAAAAGAGAAGAGAUUAGAUCUGCAAAUUACUUUACUCAAAAAAAACAAAAAAAAAACAAUAAAUUGACUUGUUUUGGCAGAGACGAAAGAGACACAAGAGGAAGACACUCAAGUUGAUGAUAUUGAUGAGACAGAAGACGACCACUUAAUGGUCACCCCUAUGCGGCCACGGGCAGACAGCAACCCCUCUAGUAGCAGUGGGUCAAGCUCUAGGAGGAAACGGAGAGCGACUGGGGAUGAUGUUGACAGAAUACUCAAGACAAUGUUUCAGAGACAAGAUGAAAUGAGGGACAAAUGGGCCGCACUGGAGAAAGAAGUAGAAAAAAGUCAUAGAAAGUGGGCCAAUGAAAUGGAACAAAGUAGGCAAAGGUGGCUAGAGGGUAUGGAAGAAAGGAAAAGGCAAUGGGCAGAAUCAG
This 910-nucleotide long non-coding RNA is filed under the name Lingula anatina. RNAcentral describes it as "uncharacterized LOC106164998, transcript variant X1". The record is from RNAcentral. Lineage: Eukaryota; Metazoa; Brachiopoda; Lingulata; Lingulida; Lingulidae.